This 440-nucleotide ribosomal RNA is filed under the name uncultured bacterium. Its description in RNAcentral is "partial 16S ribosomal RNA". It matches the Rfam family "Bacterial small subunit ribosomal RNA", at positions 338 to 795 of the family's 1533-position model. The record is from RNAcentral.
CCUACGGGCGGUAGCAGUGAGGAAUAUUGGUCAAUGGGGGAAACCCUGAUGCAGCGACGCCGCGUGAGUGAAGAAGUAAUUCGUUAUGUAAAGCUCUAUCAGCAGGGAAGAAAAUGACGGUACCUGAGUAAGAAGCCCCGGCUAACUACGUGCCAGCAGCCGCGGUAAUACGUAGGGGGCAAGCGUUAUCCGGAUUUACGGGGUGUAAAGGGAGCGUAGACGGGAGUGCAAGUCUGGAGUGAAAGGCGGGGGCGCAACCCCCGGACUGCUCUGGAAACUAGACGGCUGGAGUGCAGGAGAGGUAAGUGGAAUUCCUAGUGUAGCGGUGAAAUGCGUAGAUAUUAGGAGGAACACCAGUGGCGAAGGCGGCUUACUGGACUGUAACUGACGUUGAGGCUCGAAAGCGUGGGGAGCAAACAGGAUUAGAUACCCUAGUAGUC